CGCUUAUUUAUAUUUCGCAACUAGAAACUAAUAUUGAUCACAAUUUAUUCCAGAAAGCAAAGCGUGUCGAUUGCUGUUGAUUCCAGUCACGAUAAAUUUUUCGCAAAAAAAUACUAUCCAUAAAUUAUGCUAAUCAAACUACUCAAGUCACAAACAGGGAGAUAUAAAAGCGCCCUUCAGUGCCUUCACUAAUCAGUAAUCAAAGAGAAAGAUGAAGCUCGCCUACUACAAACUUUUCGUCCUGUCAAUCUUCGCCUGCGUGCUGAUGGCAUCGGCAAACCCAUCUAGAAAGCCAACUCAGCAGCAAAGAAUGAUGAGUGGAAAUCACAAAAUUUAAGGGUUUGGCGGGUUACGUCAUCGUGUCAAUUUUGACACAAUGUAAAGUCGUAUGAUUUUUACCCUGAAUAAAACAAAUUGGCAGAUA
Molecule: long non-coding RNA, 424 nt
Organism: Culex pipiens pallens (northern house mosquito)
Lineage: Eukaryota; Metazoa; Arthropoda; Insecta; Diptera; Culicidae
Exons: 2
Source: RefSeq, a predicted model, not a curated record